UUAAGGCUUGGUGUUGGGAAACUCCGGUGAAAUUCCGGGACUGUGCCGCAGCUGUGAUGGGAUCGCCCAAGUCAGAAUGCCAACUCUCAA
RNAcentral lists this non-coding RNA (90 nucleotides) under Nostoc punctiforme PCC 73102. The record is from RNAcentral. Lineage: Bacteria; Bacillati; Cyanobacteriota; Cyanophyceae; Nostocales; Nostocaceae. RNAcentral also lists the same sequence under 1 other name.